This 250-nucleotide ribosomal RNA is filed under the name uncultured bacterium. Its description in RNAcentral is "partial 16S ribosomal RNA". It matches the Rfam family "Bacterial small subunit ribosomal RNA", at positions 524 to 773 of the family's 1533-position model. The record is from RNAcentral. RNAcentral also lists the same sequence under 1 other name.
UACGUAGGGUGCGAGCGUUAAUCGGAAUUACUGGGCGUAAAGCGUGCGCAGGCGGUUUUGUAAGACAGAGGUGAAAUCCCCGGGCUCAACCUGGGAACUGCCUUUGUGACUGCAAGGCUAGAGUACGGCAGAGGGGGAUGGAAUUCCGCGUGUAGCAGUGAAAUGCGUAGAUAUGCGGAGGAACACCGAUGGCGAAGGCAAUCCCCUGGGCCUGUACUGACGCUGAGAUGCGAAAGCGUGGGGAGCAAAC